GCCCUUCAGGCCUAACACAUGCAAGUCGAGCGGUAGAGAGGUGCUUGCACCUCUUGAGAGCGGCGGACGGGUGAGUAAUACCUAGGAAUCUGCCUGAUAGUGGGGGAUAACGUUCGGAAACGGACGCUAAUACCGCAUACGUCCUACGGGAGAAAGCAGGGGACCUUCGGGCCUUGCGCUAUCAGAUGAGCCUAGGUCGGAUUAGCUAGUUGGUGAGGUAAUGGCUCACCAAGGCUACGAUCCGUAACUGGUCUGAGAGGAUGAUCAGUCACACUGGAACUGAGACACGGUCCAGACUCCUACGGGAGGCAGCAGUGGGGAAUAUUGGACAAUGGGCGAAAGCCUGAUCCAGCCAUGCCGCGUGUGUGAAGAAGGUCUUCGGAUUGUAAAGCACUUUAAGUUGGGAGGAAGGGCAUUAACCUAAUACGUUAGUGUCUUGACGUUACCGACAGAAUAAGCACCGGCUAACUCUGUGCCAGCAGCCGCGGUAAUACAGAGGGUGCAAGCGUUAAUCGGAAUUACUGGGCGUAAAGCGCGCGUAGGUGGUUUGUUAAGUUGAAUGUGAAAUCCCCGGGCUCAACCUGGGAACUGCAUCCAAAACUGGCAAGCUAGAGUAUGGUAGAGGGUAGUGGAAUUUUCCUGUGUAGCGGUGAAAUGCGUANAUAUAGGAANGAACCUCGAUGGNGAANGCANCCCCCUGGGUCAAGAUUGACGUUCAUGCCCGAAAGCGUGGGGAGCAAACAGGAUUAGAUACCCUGGUAGUCCACGCCCUUAACGACGUCUACUAGUUGUCGGGGGUCUUAAUUGACUUGGUAACGCAGCUAACGCGUGAAGUAGACCGCCUGGGGAGUACGGUCGCAAGAUUAAAACUCAAAAGAAUUGACGGGGACCCGCACAAGCGGUGGAUGAUGUAGAUUAAUUCGAUGCAACGCGAAAAACCUUACCUACCCUUGACAUGGCUGGAAUCCUCGAGAGAUUGAGGAGUGCUCGAAAGAGAGCCAGUACACAGGUGCUGCAUGGCUGUCGUCAGCUUGUGUCGUGAGAUGUUGGGUUAAGUCCCGCAACGAGCGCAACCCUUGUCAUUAGUUGCUACGAAGGAGGGCACUCUAAUGAGACUGCCGGUGACAAACCGGAGGAAGGUGGGGAUGACGUCAAGUCCUCAUGNCCCUUAUGGGUAGGGCUUCACACGUCAUACAAUGGUACAUACAGAGCGCCGCCAACCCGCGAGGGGGAGCUAAUCGCAGAAAGUGUAUCGUAGUCCGGAUUGUAGUCUGCAACUCGACUGCAUGAAGUUGGAAUCGCUAGUAAUCGCGGAUCAGCAUGUCGCGGUGAAUACGUUCCCGGGUCUUGUACACACCGCCCGUCACACCAUGGGAGCGGGUUUUACCAGAAGUAGGUAGCUUAACCGUAAGGAGGGCGCUUACCACGGUAGGAUUCGUGACUGGGGUGAAGUCGUAACAAGGUAACC
Molecule: ribosomal RNA, 1468 nt
Filed under: Janthinobacterium lividum
Lineage: Bacteria; Pseudomonadati; Pseudomonadota; Betaproteobacteria; Burkholderiales; Oxalobacteraceae
Description: partial 16S ribosomal RNA
Rfam family: Bacterial small subunit ribosomal RNA
Source: RNAcentral